CAGGAAUGAGUAAAAGAAAAAAAAAAAUUAACAUUGUCAUCAAGCAGAGAAAACUCAAAAUUUUUAGAUGAAUGCAUUAUUACAGGUUGAAUAUGGCUGAUCAAUGAUGCAACAGAUUUCAUCAUUACUGCUGCAAGAAAACAGUGCACUGAAUAUUAAAGAAAUAUGAUAUUAGAAUCUCUGCAUUAUCACUACAACCUCACCAUAGCAAUACCUUGCAUGAAAUCAAGGAAAUAUUGAACCGAAAUUUAGACAUUGAUUGUUGUCCUUAUGACAGAAAUAAAACAUAUAACUCAUUCAGUGACACAUUGUAAACAUUUUAAUAGAAGUAUUUCUGCUUAACAAUGGUGUCUUCUAGUUGAACUGUGUAAAAUUGGUAUUAUACAUUAAUCAUCAAGGGCAUCUUCCAUUUAUCACUUUUUUGAAGCUUAAUUACAUCCAUUUCUGACUAUCUAAAAAUGAUAUAGCAUGUACUUACAACCCUUUUAGUGAAUCCAUAUUCACUUCCAUUAUAUUAUGGGCAAAAGAGGAUCUCAACUGAUGUAAUGCUCGCAUACCAAAUGACUCAUUUGUCAGAAACUCGUUGAAACAGAAAAAAGAUUUUCAAUUACUUCCAAAAAUUUCUAUAAACAAAGAACUGUUUGAUCAAUUGAUGUUCUCUACUAUGAAGAUUGGCUUUAGACCAAGUAGUGAAAGGAAAAUAAUUUACCUUUCUAAGUUCUUUCUCCCCUCGGAUCAAUGCACAGAAGCAUUCUACUCUCUAUUAAAUCUUAAGAACAAAACAU
RNAcentral lists this unclassified non-coding RNA (785 nucleotides) under Hevea brasiliensis (rubber tree). Lineage: Eukaryota; Viridiplantae; Streptophyta; Magnoliopsida; Malpighiales; Euphorbiaceae. The record is from RNAcentral.